UGUUUUGAAAUUAUGGGCCCUAAGGCCAAAAUUGGGCUGGUUUCUUGUACACUUCCACGUUCGAGGCGCGCGGCGAGCCGGGUUCUCACCAAUUCGUCUUCUUCCACAAACUCCAAAACCCUAGCGCCGCCGCCGCCAUGUCCUCGUCUCCGUCCCCGGCGAACCGCCGUCCCCGGGGCCCGCUUGCGCUGGGGCUGGAGUCCUCGGCGAACAAGAUCGGCAUCGGCGUGGUCUCCCUCUCGGGUGACAUCCUCUCCAACCCGCGCCACACCUACGUGACACCGCCGGGUCAUGGAUUCCUUCCCCGGGAGACCGCGCAGCACCACCUCGCGCACCUCCUCCCUCUCCUCCGCGCCGCGCUCGCUGAGUCCGGUGUGGCCCCCGCUGACCUCGCAUGCGUCUGCUACACUAAAGGCCCCGGCAUGGGCGGCCCUCUCCAGGUCGCCGCCGCAGCCGCCCGCGCGCUCUCCCUGUUAUGGAGGAAGCCUCUCGUGGCGGUCAACCACUGCGUUGCGCACAUCGAGAUGGGCCGCGCGGUCACUGGGGCCGUGGACCCCGUUGUACUCUACGUCUCCGGCGGAAACACGCAGGUUAUCGCCUACAGCGAGGGGAGGUACAGGAUCUUCGGGGAAACGAUUGAUAUUGCCGUCGGGAACUGCCUUGACCGAUUCGCCAGGGUCCUAGAGCUCUCCAAUGACCCUAGCCCCGGGUAUAACAUCGAGCAGCUUGCAAAGAAGGGAGAAAAAUUCAUUGAUGUCCCUUAUGUUGUGAAGGGUAUGGAUGUGUCAUUCAGUGGCAUAUUGAGCUUUAUUGAAGCUGCGGCGAUUGAAAAGCUUAAAAAUAAUGAGUGCACACCUGCGGACCUAUGCUACUCAUUGCAGGAAACUAUCUUUGCCAUGCUUGUCGAAAUUACUGAACGUGCCAUGGCACACUGUGAUUCAAAGGACGUUCUUAUUGUUGGUGGCGUCGGUUGCAACGAACGUUUACAGGAGAUGAUGAAGAUUAUGUGCUCAGAAAGAGGGGGUAGGCUGUUUGCAACUGAUGACCGCUAUUGUAUAGACAAUGGGGCAAUGAUUGCAUAUACUGGUUUACUGGCGUAUGCACAUGGCAUGACCACUCCCCUUGAGGAGUCGACAUUUACACAAAGAUUCCGAACUGAUGAAGUUCAUGCAAUUUGGAGAGAGAAGGAGAUGCCGGUGCUAAAUAAUACCCAUUCAGAUGCAAUUGCUGAAGUUUCUAAAGAUGAAGCCUCCAUGGCAACACCAAUCGUUAUAGAUUACUGAGAGUACAUGAGCUUCAUUAUCAAACAAAGAUGACCGAGAAGGAAAGACUCCACAAUGACUUCAGAUGUUACAACUUCCAGUAUUGGAAGGGUUCAUUAUUUUUUGUCCUCGCUUACCAAAGAAAAUGGCCAAAUACUUAGACGAAGGAAGGACAUCAAGGACACCAAAGAUACCUAUUGAGAUUCCAAUAAGAAACCAAAACAGGGCAACACAGUUAAAUUGAUGAAGCCUUCUCCCAUGUCCUCCUAUGAAGAGGAAAAGAUAUAAGGGAAGAAGGUUUCGUAAGACAUCAAAGAUAUAUGAAGCGAAGUAUAUGAAGAAACAAGUUAUGAGGCACAUUCAUUACCCCUUACUACUUUUCUCACAGUCACAAACUAUCAUAGUGAUACAUUCAAGUUAUAAGAACAAUAUUCGAAGAUGGAUGUACCCUUGCAACUUUGGAUGUUGAACGUUCUGGAUGUGUGUAAAUGCGUGAGCAAUACAAAGGUAGUCCUCUCUCCCCUCAACAUGGGCACUGUUUCUCUAUUUAUAGAAAUAAGGUGGCAUACAACUUCAUAUGAAAUUAUGUUUGUGCCCUUAAACUCAAUGGUGACAUUGUUAUAUUUUCCUCCGCAAAACUUGUUGUGUAAGUCUCCUCAACCCUUCUUUGCUCCUGUGACACCGAGGACGCCAUUCGGUCCUUCUAGAAUGCUUCGUCCAAGCUCUAGUGACAAAGAUGUUAUUCCCUCCUUGGUGACGAAGUUGUUACUUCCUUCUUUAGGUCACGAAGAUCACAUAGACAAAGUUUACAUAGUUUACCAUGAAACAGACUUGGAAAGAAAUAGAUUUCAUCAGUUUGAGCACCUUCGGCAAAGGCACACCACAACAUCACCUUAGCACGCAAGUUAGACCUACAAUAGGGCGCGUUUGGUUCUCUUCUCAGGAGAUGCAGCUGCAUCUGUGCGUGCAAAAAACAGCGUUCGUUUGGUUGGCCGUAUACAUCGAGACAGGCCAGCACGAGACUUAAAGCAGUUCGGGCCUGGCUCGCAUGAAACGCCUCGCGCGGGCGUUCGUGCGCGUGCAGGGCUGAGCGCGCAGGCGCUUAAGCGGCUGUUAAUUCGUGCACGCAAAUCGAGACACUUUUUUGUUUGUUUUCCGAUUAUAUCUUUCAAUUAAAAGAUUUAAUUACCGAACCGUUUUCAGAUCUGUGUUCUACACAUUUUUGCGAACAAAACAAGACCAGUCAUGCUAUAUAUUUCAAACAAAAAAAAUACAUAAUUAAGAUUAACAUAUAAUUAGUGUCUAUUAAUACAUUUUUUAUUUAUUUAAUAAUUUUUUAACUCAAGCAACAAGUAUUCAUGCAACCAACCAAACAACAUCUCUCGUGAACCAGACUAAACACAUGCAGACAACCAAACACACUCUACCGUAUACACUCAGCCAGGCCAGUUGUAGCCUGGCUGAGCUAGUGCGAGCCAGGCUCGCCUGUGAAGCGAACCAAACGCCCCCUAUAUGUCUAGUUUAAGGAUUUAAAUUCACAGGUAGCACACCACAUGCACAAUACCCUCAACACACUCAUACUCUAGAGCGUAAGCUAGACCAAUAACCUAUAUUACUCUAGUAUGUAAGCGAGAUGUACAAUCGAUAUAUAGGUCUAAAGAUAUACAAUUGAGAGAAAUUGCAGUUGUGGCACAAUAUUAUGACAACUUAUAGGGUGCUCAUACUCUAUUGCACAAGCUUCACCAAUAACUUAUAUUACAUUAGUACGCAAGGUAGACCUACUACCUAUAUCUAGGAUUAAGAAUCUAAAUUCGCGCACUAAAGCACGCCACAUGCACCCCAACACACUCAUACACUAGUGCAUAAGUUAGACCUACAAUCUUUAUCAUCCUAGUGUGCAAAGUUGAGCUAAAAUCUAUAUCGAGGUCUAAGGAUAUACCAUUGAGAGAAAUAAAAGUCAUGUCACAUGCGUGUAGGGAUGGCAAUUUUACCCGCAAGUUCGGAUAUCCGCCGAAUAUCCGACCCGUCGGUUUCGAUUUCGGGUACAAUAUUUCACCCGCGUGUCUUACCCGUAUCCGACCCGAGGUAACAUCGGGUCGGGUUCGGAUACUGUACUUUACUCGCGGCCCCCCGCGGAUAUCCAAAAAUAUGCAAAUAGGAGCCAACUGUGGCCCAACUGCAGGCCCAACUUCAACUAGCCCAGCCCGCACAGCCGCACUCCGCCUCUAACCCUAGGCCAUCGGCCACACCUGUGACCUGCCCACCCAGGCACCCACCACCGUCAGCCUAUAGGAGCCACCAGCCUGCAUUGACUUCUCGAGUCCUCGACCAGUCGAUCGAGCAUAUCCUAGGCAGGCCACGCCACGCCGCCAUCGGUGUCUGGCUGCCAGCCACCGCCACCCGUAGGUCGCAGCGCCGCAGCACGGGCACAGCCGCACGGCUCCACGGCCCACGGCAGUAGCCCGCAGCAGCCAGACAACCAAACACAUUGGAGGAGCCCCUGCCGCCCGGCCACCGCCAGCCAAGCACAUCGCCGUGAAGCCGCUCUCCAGCGCCGUGUUCGUCGGUAUGUCCCUUCUCCUUAGUCCCUCACAUGUAUAUUUUCCAGUUGACGUCUCACUGACAAUGGUCUCAAAUAGGUGGUUCUCAAGUCCAUCCAUGGCACCUACAAGUGGAUCCGGCUCCAGGAGACAAGCUAAUUGUUCACUGUUGUCUUCACGUGGUGCUGCAACGGGGAGGGGGAGGGUGACCUCAAAUCGGUCAACUAUCAGUCGUGUUGGCGAUGCUGCUGGUACACCUACACCUACGCCGAGUGCAGACCCAUCAAGUGCCAGCGAUGCUACUGCUAGUGGCACACCAUCAUCAAGUACCAAUGCUCCACCUGCAAGAGCAACACCACAAUCAGGUAUAGAUUAUGUCAUUGUGGAAGAUGAUGAUACUGUUAAUGUUGGGACGAAGAGGAAGAUGAAAUCUAAUGUUUGGCUAGAGUUUGAACAAGUAACUGUUGGUGGUAAAUUAAAAGCUCAAUAUAAUUGGUGUAAAAAGCAAUUAGUUGGAGAUAGUAAAGCUGGUACAACUCAUUUGCGUAGUCAUCUUGGAAGUUGUCAAUCAAGGCAAGUUAGAAAAGGAUUAAAGCAAGCAACCUUGAAGUUGUUAAAGAUGAGCAUGGAGCAAUAAUAGUUGAUAAGUAUGUUUUUGAUCAACAAGUUGCUAGGAAAGAACUCGCAAUAAUGAUGUGUCCACGAGUAUCCACUUUCAAUGGUUGACCAUGUUGGUUUUAGGAGAUUUUGUGCAGCGUUGCAGCCUCUUUUCAAAACAAUGUUUAGGAACACUAUUAAAAAGGACAUCUUAGAUAUGUAUUAGGUGCAGAGGAGUUCUAUGAUCAAUUUCUUCCAAAAGUGUCAAUCUCGGAUUGUUGUAACUACUGAUAUGUGGACAACAAAUCAUCAGAAAAAGGAUAUAUGUCGGUUACAGUACAUUUCAUCGAUGAUGAAUGGAAGUUGAAAUCAUUUCUUUUGAGGUUCAUAUAUGUGCCCGCUCCACAUAUAGGAGAAAUUAUAAGUGAUGUUCUUUAUGAAGUCUUGCAAGAUUGGCAAAUUGAGAAGAAAGUCUCGACAAUGACUCUUCACAACUGCACCACUAAUGAUAAUUUGAUGUGUUGCAUGCAAGAUAAGUUACCCCUUUCCUCUCUCAUGCUAGAUGACAAAUUGUUACAAAUGCGUUGUGCUGCACACAUCAUAAAUCUUAUAGUCAAAGAUGGAAUGAGUGUUAUGGAUGAGGGUAUUGAAAGGGUGCGUGAUAGUGUUGGAUUUUGGUGUGCCACGCCAAAAAGACAUGAGUGUUUUGAACGCACAACACAAAUGAAUGUUAAAUAUGAGAGAAGGAUAACUCUCGAUUGUAAGACUAGAUGGAAUUCAACCUACAUUAUGCUUAGCACCGCACUUGAUUAUCAAGUAGUGUUUGAUCGCCUAGCAAGUAAAGAAAAGCUUUGUGCUCCUUUUAACCCAACCAUAGAGGAUUGGGAAUUUGCUAAAAAGCUUUGUGGUAGAUGCAACUGAGCUAUUAUCAGGAACCAAUUAUGUGACAACAAAUUUGUUUUUCCCGAAAAUAUGUGGAAUUUAUUUGGCUAUUGAAAAAUGGAGAACUAGUGUUAUCCCAAAUGUAGAACAAAUGUCUUCCUUGAUGAAAGACAAUUCAAAAAGUAAUGGUCAGAUGUGUGUGGCCUUAUGGUAUUAGCUACUGUUUUGGAUCCUAGGUUUAAAUUGAAAUUCAUGAAAGCUUUCUUUACCACCAUUUAUGGGGAAGAAAGUCCAAUCACAAGUAGUGAGUUGUCUAGGGUUCAGAGUUUGUUGUAUGAGCUUGUAUUGGAGUACCAAGAUCCUAUGGAGGGUGUGGUAACAACUGAUGGUGUAGGUGCAAGUACUAAGAAUGUUGCCGUUAAUGAAGGUGAUGACCUUAUGCUUGGCAUAUUUGAUAAGUUCAUGUCAGAGGAACCGGAAACAUCUUCAACCUAUAUGCGCACUGAGUUAGAUUUGUAUUUGGAAGAGCCAAUACUUCCAAGAACUCAAGAGCUUGACAUUAUUUCUUGGUGGCAACACGCGGGAAUCAAAUACCCAACUCUUAGAAAAAUCGCUCGGGAUAUCAUGGCAAUUCCCGUUACAAUAGUGGCAUCAGAAUCUGUUUUUAGUACGGAGGGAGGGUAAUUAGCCCACAUCGAAGUAGACUUGCUCCAAAAACAGUUGAAGACUUGAUGUGUAUGUAAGCUUGGUCUCGUGCAGACAUGUUAGGUGAUUAAUCUUGUUUUAUAAAUGCACUAACAACUUGUUUGGAGGAUGAAGAGGAACAAAUGGUAAUAGUGGUUUUGUUAGCAAUUAUUUUCUUUGCUUUGAUUGACCGAAUACUUAUAUUUACUUGUACAUUUCACUAUUUUUUAGGAUGAACCAAAUUGUUGAUAUGUUGAAUGCUCUAUAGGUUGACGACUUGAUGUUCAACAAAGUGUUGGCUGUGCAGCCUGUGCUGUUGUUACUUGUCAAGCUGUCCAAGAGACCAAGACUCCAAGUGCUGUGUGGUUGUCCAAACUCCAAGACCAAGAGUCCAAGAAACGAAGACUCCAAGAUCCUAUGUGCCUGUGUUGGCGUCUUGGCCAAGACGCUAUUUCAUUCCUUACUGUUUUUGUUCUUUGCUGUCCAACAUUCCUAGAGACUAAGAUCAUGUGUCCCUAGUCCCUUGCUGUUUUGUUGAAUACUUUGAAGUUUGGUUAAAGUGUAGCUUCAAGUGUGGUUGUGUUACUACUAUUAUUUCUAUAUGAUAUAUAGAAAUAUAUUGUUGGAACACUUGUUUCAUCAAACA
Molecule: RNA transcript, 6611 nt
Organism: Zea mays
Lineage: Eukaryota; Viridiplantae; Streptophyta; Magnoliopsida; Poales; Poaceae
Gene name: O-sialoglycoprotein endopeptidase
Exons: 6
Source: RefSeq, marked provisional